AACGUAGGACGCAAGCGUUAUCCGGAGUUACUGGGCGUAAAGCGCGGGCAGGCGGUUCUGCCAGUCUGAUGUGAAAUCUCCUCGCUCAACGGGGAGCAGCCAUUGGAAACUACAGAACUGGAGUCUGACAGAGGUAGGCGGAAUUCCGGGUGGAGUGGUGAAAUGCGUAGAGAUCCGGAGGAACACCAGCGGCGAAGGCGGCAUCCUGGACUGGUCCUGACACUCAGGAGCGAAAGCGUGGGGAGCGAUCCGG
Molecule: ribosomal RNA, 253 nt
Filed under: uncultured bacterium
Lineage: Bacteria
Description: partial 16S ribosomal RNA
Rfam family: Bacterial small subunit ribosomal RNA
Source: RNAcentral